Long non-coding RNA from Saccostrea echinata, 707 nucleotides. RefSeq lists it as uncharacterized. Lineage: Eukaryota; Metazoa; Mollusca; Bivalvia; Ostreida; Ostreidae. The record is from RefSeq and is a predicted model, not a curated record. The transcript is spliced from 3 exons.
UAUAUUCCUAUGUAAAGAUUUGAAUGCCCUAUUGUGGCCCCAUUUUAGCCCCAGGGGUCAUGACUUGAACAAACUUGAAUCUGAACAACAUGGGGAUGCUUGCAUAUUAAUUUGAGUAAUCAGCCUUUUUGUGCUCGAAAAGAAGAUUUUUAAAAGAAUUUUCCUAUAUAUUCCUAUGUAAAACACUGAACCCCCAUUGUGGCCCUACCUAUGAAUCAAGUGUCAUGACAAUGAUUCUAGAGAAGAAAAUUCUUUAAUAAUCCCUUUUCAUUAUUUCUUAAACUUCUCCCCUUGUAAAGGGACUUGGCCCUUCAUUUAAACAAUUUGAAUUCCCUUUACCCAAGAAUGCUUUGGGACAAGUUUGGUUGAAACUGGCCCAGUGGUUCUUGAGAAGAAGCUGAAAAUGUAAAAAGUUAGCAACAACACACAACAGACAGAUGCCAGACAAACUUUAAACAGAAAAGCUCACUUGAGCUUUCAGCUCAGUGAAGUCUACAUGCAAGUCGCAUUUUCCCUCUGCAAUUCUACGUGACUUGAUAAGUGAUUUUAAGGCGAUGGAUGGUAUGACAACACGGCACAACCUCAAAAUAUGAUGCAUUUCUACAGUGAGUGUAACGGAGACGAAGCUUUUGAUAUGAAUAUUUGUCAUCCAAUUUUCACAUUAAUUCAUUAUUGUGAUGUGACACAAUUGUUCUGUAAAAUUUACA